AUUACAAAAUAUUGGUUGUUUCAUCAUUCUGAGCAUUAUGUUGCCACUACAUGUUUGUCUCCAUUUGUGGUUUUUGUAUUAAGGAAAUGUGUGCUUGUUCUAGUUUUACUACUCUUUGUAAAUCCAUGUACUGUAAUAUUUUAAAGCACCGGAGAAGCACAGGAGAGUUGUCCCUGAACCGAAAGUUCCAGCUGCCCCCAGGGAAGCUCCAGGAGUUAAAGGUACAAAUCAGUUCCUCAUCUGGGUGAUGCACCUUCAAGGAAAAUAUGUUUGAUUUACUGUCUUGUUUCUACAUGUUGAAAUGGGUGGUGUGUGCUUACAGAGAUGAAUGGUUGUCUCAAAUUCCAUCUUGUACUGUGACAGGUAUUGUUUGUGUUGACUCAGUAAAGCACACUGUGAUAUAGUAAGCAAUGAAAAAUAUUGCAUCUUAAUAUUCUUUCUUAUCUUCCUUCUUAUCUUACUCAUUUUUCUAAAGUUCCUGAAGUUUGUAAGAAAGUAGCUCCUAAAGAGAAAGUGCCUGUCCCUGUGCCUAAAAAAAUGGAGGCUCCACCACCAAGAGAACCUGCAGAAGAACAGGUACCCACUUUUGAGAUAGAAGUUGAAGAACCUCCAUCAACAAAAGUGACUGAAGUACACAGGAAAAUUAUCACAGAAGGAAAAGUUGCAGUUGCUAAAAAAGAGGAGGCUCCACCAAAAAGAGGUAUAUCUUUUUUUCAGAGCUACGCAAUAGAAGUCUUGUUUCAAGAAUACUGAUUUAUAUUUAUAAUAUCUAAUUGUUUAACACAAGCUGUAUUGUUCAGUGUUUGCUGUCUUUUUUUUUUAUUUGACUUGAAGAAAUGUCAAGUCCCUGCAUUUGUGUUUUGUCAUCUGAUUAUGUUAAUAAACUGUGAUUGAUUCAAAAUCAUUUUAAAUACUUUUUUUUUUUUUUUAACAAAAUGUCAGCAGUGCCCAAGAAGCCUGUGCCAGAAGAGAAAGUACCUGUUCCAAUUUCACAGAAAAUGGCAGGUCCACCAGCAAAAGGUACACAAGUUUGUUUGAAAGCACAGAAGGCUUCCAAAUAUCAGAUGUGCAUACACGCAAUGUUUCUGGUUAAUCAAAUCCCAGUCUUUCCUGACUUGGUUAUAAAUGGAAAGGACCUUUGUCUUCUCCCCUGCAAAAAAUGCAGAAGGUGACAGAGAACAGCCACACGCAUUCAUUCCUUGAAUUUUCUAGCACUAUUUAACUUCAUUGAUUACUUUGGCUGCUUAAGUGCUUUGGAAAGCUGAGUUAACACAUUUACUCAGUGAAGAAGUUAAAUAAAUAUUAAUGCAUUAGAUUAAAAAAAAAUAUUAAUGCUUUAUAACAUUGUCAAUAUUCA
Pezoporus occidentalis (night parrot) is the source of this 1357-nucleotide long non-coding RNA. RefSeq lists it as uncharacterized. The transcript is spliced from 3 exons. Lineage: Eukaryota; Metazoa; Chordata; Aves; Psittaciformes; Psittacidae. The record is from RefSeq and is a predicted model, not a curated record.